RNAcentral lists this transfer RNA (74 nucleotides) under Chlorobiales bacterium. Its description in RNAcentral is "tRNA-Arg". It matches the Rfam family "tRNA". Rfam says of the family: Transfer RNA (tRNA) molecules are approximately 80 nucleotides in length. Their secondary structure includes four short double-helical elements and three loops (D, anti-codon, and T loops). Lineage: Bacteria; Pseudomonadati; Chlorobiota; Chlorobiia; Chlorobiales. The record is from RNAcentral.
GCGCCCGUAGCUCAAUUGGAUAGAGCGUCAGCCUCCGAAGCUGAAGGUUAUGAGUUCGAUCCUCGUCGGGCGCA